GCAGUCGCCGCGGUAAUACGGAGGGUGCGAGCGUUAAUCGGAAUUACUGGGCGUAAAGAGUGCGUAGGUGGUUAAUUAAGUUAUCUGUGAAAUUCCUGGGCUUAACCUGGGCAGGUCAGAUAAUACUGGUUAACUCGAGUAUGGGAGAGGGUAGUGGAAUUUCCGGUGUAGCGGUGAAAUGCGUAGAGAUCGGAAGGAACACCAGUGGCGAAGGCGGCUACCUGGCCUAAUACUGACACUGAGGCUCGAAAGCGUGGGGAGCAAACAGGAUUAGAUACCCGCGUAGUCCCUGUCUCUUAUAC
RNAcentral lists this ribosomal RNA (302 nucleotides) under uncultured bacterium. Its description in RNAcentral is "partial 16S ribosomal RNA". It matches the Rfam family "Bacterial small subunit ribosomal RNA", at positions 508 to 807 of the family's 1533-position model. The record is from RNAcentral.